GGGAGUAUAGCUCAAGUGUAGAGAGCUCGCCUCGCAUGCGAGAAAUCUGGGGUUCGAUUCCCCAUACCUCCA
RNAcentral lists this transfer RNA (72 nucleotides) under Angiostrongylus costaricensis. It matches the Rfam family "tRNA". Rfam says of the family: Transfer RNA (tRNA) molecules are approximately 80 nucleotides in length. Their secondary structure includes four short double-helical elements and three loops (D, anti-codon, and T loops). Lineage: Eukaryota; Metazoa; Nematoda; Chromadorea; Rhabditida; Metastrongylidae. The record is from Rfam by way of RNAcentral.